UUGUGAGUUUUCAUUGGUUUGGAGUUUUUAGACCCUUCAUUGUUGACCAGUGGAAAACUUCCCGCCGAAGUGUUUCAAAUAGCACUUUGUCUUCAAACGAACAAGAUGGACACAUGCAGUUUACAGAAGCAAAAGAUUUGAUUUGAACUGUUCGUGAAACCACACAUACUCAAGAGAAUUUACAAGACUAUUAUCCACAAAAUGCAACAGUCUUAUUUUGAUGAAUUGUUGAACCAGAGAAAUGUGAAGACUUACAGACACCUAGACUGUAUAGUCAACAUAACAAUGAUUAGAGAAUCAGACUACAAUGAACAUUACAAUGAUUAGAAAAUCAGACUAGAGUCAACAUUACAAUGAUUAGAGAAUCAGACUAUAGUCAACAUUACAAUGAUUAGAAAAUCAGCCAGCUGCAUUUCAUCAAUCAGUUUAUGAUGAAGCUUUACAGCAUUGGAAAUGAUUACUCAGGGACCAAACAACUGAGCAGAAAGAAGAACCGUAUGACCUUGAAGAGUAAGCAAUGUAUUAAGUAUAUUUGGGGUUACCAAAGAGUAUGGUAAGAACCUCAUCUUAAAUUAUACUUGAUUGCAGCAGUGGGAUGUUAGUCAUAGACGUUGGAUAGACUCCGUUGUACUAGGCCAGGGAGGGUAGCGCAGAGUUUCCGCAGCACUAUACAAUAGUAGCAAGAUCACUCUACCAUGAGCUUGUUAAAGGGCCCGUUUGAUGAAAGUGACACCAACGUUCUCCACAACACUACAGAUUUGUUUUUGCAGAUGCAGCCGAGAGGAUGUUUCAGUCAUGGACUCAUUUGAUGGAAGUGACACCAACAUUCUCAAACACUAAUAAUUUACAAAUUUGUUUUUGUUGUAGAUGCAACCUCAGUCAUACACCCUAGAGUUUGGCUAUGUUGUGACAGAAGAAGAGUGGCAUAUAGACUUCUGUAUGUCCAUUUUUAUGGAAGUGACAAAUUACUAAUCUUUCUUCUUAUAUCCAUUUCAGAGUUCUUACAAAGAUGCAUAGAUUGCAGCAGUGGGAUGUUACAGUCAUAGACGUUGGAUAGACUCCGUUGUACUAGGCCAGGGAGGGUAGCGCAGAGUUUCCGCAGCACUAUACAAUAGUAGCAAGAUCACUCUACCAUGAGCUUGUUAAAGGGCCCGUUUGAUGAAAGUGACAACAACGUUCUCCACGACACUACAGAUUUGUUUUUGCAGAUGCAGCCGAGAGGAUGUUUCAGUCAUGGACUCAUUUGAUGGAAGUGGCACCAACAUUCUCAAACACUAAUAAUUUACAAAUUUGUUUUUGUUGU
Long non-coding RNA from Mytilus trossulus (common blue mussel), 1303 nucleotides. RefSeq lists it as uncharacterized. The transcript is spliced from 5 exons. Lineage: Eukaryota; Metazoa; Mollusca; Bivalvia; Mytilida; Mytilidae. The record is from RefSeq and is a predicted model, not a curated record.